Dama dama (fallow deer) is the source of this 2039-nucleotide long non-coding RNA. RefSeq lists it as uncharacterized. The transcript has 3 exons. NCBI's taxonomy places the organism in Eukaryota, Metazoa, Chordata, Mammalia, Artiodactyla, Cervidae. The record is from RefSeq and is a predicted model, not a curated record.
CUAUCCUCCUUUGUUGCUGACUUAGUGUGUCCGCCCUCUCCCUGCUGGAGCAGCCCUUCAGGGGGACACUGGUUGUGCAGUUAUCAUAAACACCUACUGGAUGCUGUGCAGUACCUGAAAUGGCCGAGCUCUGGACAUCUUGCUUCAUCACCUUCUAAACAUGUCUACCCUCACUGGCCUGCUGAGGCUGCUAACUGGGUCUCACGCAUUGGAAACUCCUAAGCCAAGCCCAGAGGAGGAUGUGCCAAAGCUGUUGAUGAUCAUCUUUACACAGUUGGCCUUCAAAUCAGUAACAGCAGCUACCAUUUCAUGAAGCCCUCCAAGGACCUGCCUGGGCUUUUACAACACCACAGCCCCGUUAAGCAAGUGACCAACUUUUACACAGAUCCAUGCUGGGAGAGGCUGAGAAUCUGCAGAAGGGAGCACCUGGGAACCAAACCCUGUUCUUUUAUGCCUUUUAUACCAAAGAGGGCUUCACAUAGCUACAAUCUUUUCCUCAAAUGUGCCCAAGAGUGUCUCAUUCAAAAGUCACUGCACUUGCUACCUGCCUGCCAAGGUGAUGUCUUUCCUAACAUCUCUGCUUCUCCUUGCCCAUCCAGCUCUCAGGUCAGAUGUCAUCUCAGAGCUAUCUUCCCACCCAGUUCUAAACCAGUAUUGCCCACCCGUGCUUCCCUACUCCUGUAUCUUCCCCAUAUAUAUACUCUAUUGUUUCAUUUUUCUUCAUACCAUUGAUUACCACCUUUAAGUAUCUGGCUCAUUAAUUUCUCUCUCCACCCUCUCUAGAACAGCACUGCUCAGGGGAACGUUCUUUGGUGAAGGGACUAUUCCAGAUCUGCACUGUCCAACAUAGUAGUCGUUAGCUGCAGGUGACCGGUGAACAUUUGAAAGGCCAGCACAACUAAGGAACUGAACUGGACACCACCCCUGAAUCUCCCAUUCCUUGGGAAGCCAGCUUUUCUGACAUGUGCAGAACCAUAAGUGCCCAAUGUCGUCUCCCCCCCCCCCCCCCGCCGCCACCACCCAUGGCAGCUAGAUUCAGGAAACUGCUAGAUCAUCCAGAGAUGCGUGGCUGGAAGGUCAUCACCAAAGAUGCAGGCCAGCUACAGAUUUCACAGCUGGACACUGAAAGUUCCAGGUAGUUCCGGAGCCACUUGCAUUAAAGCACAGAGAACAAAGGGGAACACAAGAAGUUCUCCUUACAAAGCCAACACACUCUGAUAGAGAAAUGUCCAAAAAUAACAAACACAAAGAAAACCACCCACCUCCCCAAUGUAAUUUAUGAACGUUGAUGCAGAAAUCCUAAAAAAGUUAAUAAACAUCAGGACAUUACAACAGGGGCACGUCUAUAAUUAUGUCACUGUUAAUUUUUCAAAUGAGAAAAUCUCCAUGAUCCCUUUGGAGAGCUUUGGAGGGGGAAAAUUGAGACUAUUACUAAUUUUCAUUUACUAGAAAGGGUGAGAUGACUGUUCCUUUAUCCAGAUAAAAAGUGAUAUGAAUCAAAGCAGAAUCCAGAAACUUCCCCUUUUAAGUCAGAGACCAGAUACUUAAAAUUGUCACAUUCUUAGCCCAGUGUUUUGGAAGCAGUAGCUGUGAGGAAUGUAAUUACCUCCUCGCGUACCUUGAAUGCAAAAGAAGUAAAAUAAUAUUUGCCAGUAAUAUGACUCUGUACUGAGAAAAUUAAUGAUAACCUAACAAAACUGUUAAGAAUUUAGCAGCAGGAUAGGUUCAUCUGCAGCAACUACGCAGGACUGUAAGGAAGGAGUAACCUGAGCAGAUAAGACAGCAACUGGAGGGAAUGCCCAACUGCACGUGGAAAGCCUAACCAGCGCGGUGAGGGGAGUGGAUCCCUCCUUGUAUGCCUAUGCCAGAACUCGACUGAGACCAGUUCUGAUCAAAUUUCUGAAUGCAGUUAAAUGUAAUAUACAUUCUAACAGCAUGUUCUCAAUGAAUCCUGACAAGCUGAUGGUAGGUAUUCAUCUGGUUGACAACAGAUAAUAGGUUUUUAUAAUUAAAAAAAAAAAAAAAAAAUGAGGGCUUAC